This 433-nucleotide ribosomal RNA is filed under the name uncultured bacterium. RNAcentral describes it as "partial 16S ribosomal RNA". It matches the Rfam family "Bacterial small subunit ribosomal RNA", at positions 29 to 507 of the family's 1533-position model. The record is from RNAcentral.
AACGAACGCUGGCGGCAUGCCUAACACAUGCAAGUCGAACGAGACCUUCGGGUCUAGUGGCGCACGUCUGCGUAACGACGGGGAACCUGCCCUUAGGUUCUGAAUAACUCCCCGUAAGGGGUGCCAAUACCGGUUAAUGUCUUCGGACAAAAGAUUUAUCGCCUUUGGAUGGGUGCGCGUUAGAUUAGCUAGGUGGUAGGGUAAAAGCCUACCUAGGCGACGAUCCAUGGCUGUUCUGUGAGGAGGAUCAGUCACAAUGGGAAUGAGACACGGCCCACACUCCUACGGAGGGCAGCAGUGGGUAGUAUUAGGGGAGGAGGGAUGGCCUAGUCCAGCAAUGCCGGGUAAGUGAUGAAGGCCUUAGGGUUGUAAAGUUCUUUUACCCGAGAUGAUAAUGACAGUACCGGGAGAAUAAGCUCCGGCUAACUCCGUG